GCAGCGACGCCGCGUGAACGAUGAAGGCCUUCGGGUUGUAAACCUCUUUCGACAGGGAAGAUAAUGACGGUACCUGUAGAAGAAGCUGCGGCUAACUACGUGCCAGCAGCCGCGGUAAUACGUAGGGGGCAAGCGUUGUUCGGAAUUACUGGGCGUAAAGGGUGCGUAGGCGGUUUUCUAAGUCUGGUGUGAAAUCUCCGGGCUCAACUGGGAGGGUGCGCCGAAAACUGUCGGGCUUGAGUAUGGGAGAGGAGAGUGGAAUUCCUGGUGUAGCGGUGAAAUGCGUAGAUAUCAGGAGGAACACCUGUGGUGAAAGCGGCUCUCUGGACCAUUACUGACGCUGAGGCACGAAAGCGUGGGGAGCAAACAGGAUUAGAUACCCUGGUAGUCCACGCCCUAAACGAUGAAUGCUUGGUGUGGG
This 421-nucleotide ribosomal RNA is filed under the name uncultured bacterium. RNAcentral's name for it is "bacterial SSU rRNA". It matches the Rfam family "Bacterial small subunit ribosomal RNA", at positions 388 to 826 of the family's 1533-position model. The record is from RNAcentral.